GUUAAUUCCAGCUGGGCAAUAAAACAGGAAAUAAAAUGUAAACCAAAAUAAUAACAAGAUAUUUUUUCACCUGAGAAAAACAGUGAAUUCCUUAGAACAAUUCUUGUUAUUCCUUUUGCUUCUGGUUAUCCCUAACUUCACACAUGACCAGAAGGCUAAAUCUUGACUUGUCAGUGCACUGUGUGAGCCAGGUAGACCAUGAAACAGUGGUUUUGUAACCAGUUGAAACAUUCACAAACAAAGACGUCAAGUAUCAGUGAUGACAAUUCCCAGAAAGCUGAUGCAAUGGCUGUCUUAAGUUAGGCCAAGAAACUUUAGUGUGAGUGGGAGAGGAUUAUCAGAGACCUGGUACUACCAGGGAUGUGAGGAAAAUUGGCAACUGAGCAAGAAUGUUCAGUAGCUGUGAAUGUAAAGAACAGUUUAUUAUGGCAGAAUUAUAAUUGCAAUGAUUUUUCAAAUGUGAAUAGCAAAACAACCACCUGUUACAUCGUAUUGAUUUAAAUCACAAAAGCUAUUGAAUUUUCCAUAAGCAGCUGGAUGUUCCGCUGUCAUGUAUUUUCUAAAACAGAAAGUAAAACAAAACUGUAAGAGACUCAUAGAGAACGAAACUGUGAGAGAAACAGUGGGGAAAGAAAGGCCUGGCAUUCCCAUUAUCUCUUGGGUAGAUUUGUCUUUGCUGGAUAAUUGCACUUUGGAUUGAUUUGCUGCCUCUGGCAGUUUGUUUGGAAGAUAACUUUUAUUUGUCCCUUCUCCUGAUCCUCUUCCACCCUAUUAUUUAAAACCUAAUUAUCUUAUGAAAUACUAAUUGCCAAGCUGUGCAACUUAAUUUUCCAAACUGCAGUCUCCAGUAUUUCUACUUGCCAUUUUUGACCAAGGAAUGCUUGCAGGGAGAAGGUUUACUUUUAUGAAAAGUUCUCCAGCUCAACACAGGAAGCAGCUCAGUCACACAAUAAGAUCCCACCUUUUUACCUGAAAUGCAUAAAUGCAUUUUGCAUCCUUUUUUUUUUUUUUUUUUUUUUUUCUUCUGCCAGGUUUUGAAAGAACAGGGAACCUGCUGUCAGAUGAUAGACUGGGAAGCAGAGACAGCUCCAAAAUCAGUGUGUGAAGUUUCUAGGCCCUGUUUGAAGGCAGCAGAUGGAGCUGCCUGCCCUGAUGGUAAACAGCAACUGCCUGGAACCAACAAGCCAGUUGAGCAGCUAGAUCUCAGUGCUGCUUGGGGAACCAUGUUGGAUUGCUUAGAGAAAACUGACAUGAAAUGUCACCUCUUGGACUUUCUGCUUAACUCUACAGAAAUGUUAACAGCUUCACAUUCUCUUCCUUCAACCCAGCCUCUUGUCAGGAGCAGUUCGAGCAUAUGACAUGUCAGUCAUUAUUAUGAUUGCUUCCCUGCACAUGGACACUGCAGAUCUGCCACGGGAAGAAACAAGGAGCAUCAAACUGAAUCCAAAUUGAGCGCCUGAGGAAUGUGUGUGCAAGAGGACACCCACUCUCUCUCACACACGCACUUAUACCAAUGAUAGCAUGUAUCAGCUCUUCCACAUCUGUGAGCUGUAGCACUGCACAUUGUGAAAAAAAAUAUGUGCAGAAUUCUCAGAAGGCACCACAUAAAUAAUACAUGUCUGUGUCAGGAUUUUUCACUAUUAUUCUUUAUAUCAAGGUGAAGUGUAUAGUAGAAAUAUGAUUUAUUGUGUUCCUUUCCUGGAAGCAUGUUUUACAAUCUUUAUUUAUUCCAGUGUAUGUGAAACGGGAAGGGAAAAAAAAAAAAAAAAAGGUUUUGCAAUGAAGUGUAUUAACUGAUAAGGAAUAUAUGAUAAUUUUACUGAAGUCUGUAGGUCAAAUCCCCAAACAAGUUGUCUUCUCCUAUCCUCAAGGCUGGGAGAAAAAAAUGUAUGAAACUAUGUAUUAUAUCCUUAAUAUGUUGUCUGCCCCACUUUGCCCUCCUUACUGGGGCCAGCCUUUUUGCCUAGGCAAAGUAAGCAUCAAUUUAUGCUCAAAGACUUCCCAGAACGGCUAGGUGAUUGCAGCCGCAUAUUUUGCUUGUGUCUAGCAGAAAAGCAUAACUGAGCAGAGAAUCCUGUCCAAGUGGCUUGUCACUAUCUCUUGCUUGCAGAACGAAAAAUUGAGAACUUUCUGCUUCCACAUUCACAAAAGGCAAGUACCAGAACUAUUUCUGGGGGUUAAGAAGUAUUCCUAGAAGGUUGCAUGGGCUCAUUAGCCUCACUCUUCUUUUUCUUCCUGCCCUUUCCCCUGAGAUUUUUCCCAUGUUUUUCAUCCAGGCCUGUCUUUUUCUCUUUUCUGUAUAAGAAGUAGUGCUGGCAUGCUUGUGGCAGAGCAGCCUAGUCACAUCAGUUGAAAGGGCAAGAAAUGUGGUGCAGAGAAGGAACAGAGAGACAUUUCAUUUUUUCUUCCAGCCUCCUUUCCCCAUAUCCUGCUCUUUCAUUUCAAAGAUGACGACCAAAUAAAUUAUCUUAUGUUCCUGUGAAGCCUUGAGUU
This 2493-nucleotide long non-coding RNA is filed under the name Anas platyrhynchos platyrhynchos (common mallard). RNAcentral describes it as "lncRNA (ENSAPLG00000027171.1)". The record is from RNAcentral. Lineage: Eukaryota; Metazoa; Chordata; Aves; Anseriformes; Anatidae.